GUUGAUCUCACCUUGCAACAGCAGAUAUUAUAGGCUUUGCAAACUGUCCAGAUCCCAGUGGGUAUAAUUUUCAGGCUGGCUAAUUCUCUGGGCUCGAGUGAUGCCACUCAGAGGCUCUGAGCCAGCUGAGGGGAGGGGGUGGCGUGCCACACACAGGAAGGGGUCUGAGUCAGGGCUCCCGAGAGCAAGGACCUCCUUCCUUCUUCUGGACACCGCUCCUUGCAAGCCUGCUCCCAUUGCUGAUGCCCACCUACCCGCAGUUAGGUCCUGUCCUUUCUCAGCUGAGACAGGAGGGACAGGUGGCCCGUGCCGGAAGCAGUGGCUGUGGCACAGGAGAAGGGGGGAGAUCCUGGUAGAGAGCCCAGAGCUGCAAUGUGACAAACAGGAGGCCAGGUAUUAACAGCGGUUUUCCCUAUUCUUGGGACCCAAGCCUUUUGUGAAAUGGUGCAAGGAAGAUGUGUAUUCAAAUCUUGGCCCAGUGAAUUGGGUAUUGUCAGGAAAUAACAGAAAGUUUUGAGGAUUUAAACAUCCUGGACCCUAUCCUGCUGCUGUGAACGUAAAGGAAGAGCUUUUUCUUGCCAGAGGCUGAAAAUAAGGCUGCAAAAGGAAAUCAGCUGGGGAGCAUGUACCUGCUUCAAGAGCAAACUAGAAACUUACUGAGUUACGGUGCUGAAUGGAGGCAGCCCAUGCUCCGUCUUCCUCUGCCAGGAGUGGACAAAAAUGCUCAAGUUGUCUUCAUAAACAGAAAGUCCAAACCCUAACAAUAUCCCUUUUUAUUUCUUAAUUCUCGCUUAACAUGCCAGUCAAAAGCUAAGCGAAGCCUAUAUGCAGCUCAGUGAUUGGGCAAAGCCUGAUCUGUAAAAGCAAACUGCUUGCCAAAGCUGUGGAAAAUAAAAACAAGGGAGAGUUUACACAGUAGAAAAGUGAAAACUAAUGAAACCUGGAGAUUUGCUUCAACAGUUUUUCAUUGUGCUGUUGGCAGAUGGUUCCUCUUCUUCAGGAACCGGGGCAGGAGCAGUGCAUUUGUCCCACAGGCAGAACGGCUGGGGGGCACCGUGGAAACUUGACACACACUGAGCUGCUUUCUCCAAGCUGGAACACAGAGUGAAGUGAGAAGACGUAGGAGGCACGUAGGGAUGUUGCCAUUUUGUGGGGCCAACGUGUACAUAGCUGGUGUACUGUGAGGCAAAUACCCCUGUUCUGAAUACGUUGAGCUGCACUACACGGCUCUUCUGAUUUUCCAGAUUUUGCUUGCUCCAGACACAUAAAGGAGCAGCUGCUGCUCAUGUGUGCAUGCAAUGUUGCGCAUUGAGGAGUUGAGGACACGUCUUGGCAAAUGGCAAGAGCCUUAAGUUUGCAGGUAAAAUGCCACAGAAAGGAAAUGAACAGAUAAGCUCAACUGAAAACAUGAGAAGGUGUUUGUUUUAAUGUUCUGUUCGUGACUGUUCAAAGUAGGGCAAAGCACUGCUUGAAAAUCAUACUAAAGAAAGAUUUAAAAAUCUGACACGGGGUUUCUCUGUAUUUUCCUUUUAAAAAAUUACCCUUGGGCAGGAAUUCAGUGGUCUGCAGUCAGUCAAAAAGGCCAGUCUGCUCCAGAAGUGCUCCUUCCUGGAAUACAGCUUUUAAAUGGACACAUUCACAAACCGUUACUAAGAGUAUCAAAACUGGUAGAGGAGACUUCACCCCUCUGCGAUCAUAAUUCCUUCCCUUAUCCAGAAAGCAGGUCCAUUUAAAAGGAGGUGUAAAGGAGCAUGACAUUGCUCUUCCAACACACCUCACCCCUGAUCUGCAAGCUUUCAGAGGAGGGUUCAUCCCCUGUGCCCAUUCAGUCCAUGGCCUCCAGCUGUGGGUGCCAACAGUGAGAACAAGUAGAGCCAAGUGGGAUGACAGCUUCUGUGCUGUGCUCCUUGGCCCACUAGAAGCUGGAUGGUGAGACAGCAAUAAAGAUGUCUUUGUCAACCCUUGAGCCUAGAUCCCUAGCAAAACACCAGCAACAAAUGACUGAAUCCUGUACGUUUGUGCUCGUAUUCAUAGCAAUGACCUGAGGAAGAAGAGGUGGCUCUGAACAGGCAGUACACACCUCUGACUGGUACAGCAGAGCAUCUCUGAUGUGGUCUAAACUCAGGGCGUGUGAUCCCUGCCUAGUCCUCCUCUGUGAGGUGGGAGUCACACACAGCAGAGCUAGCAACAGUAAUAUUAUUUGUUCAAAUAUCACUGGCCAUAGUUGCAGAACUUCUGUUAGUGAAUGGUUGAUGGACCAGCCAGAGCUGUGUUGAGCAUGUUCACAACUUUUUGGCUUAUUUUUACUUCUGGCUGCUAAUGAUUUAGGGUCAUGAUUUUCAUCUUGUGCCUAAUUUAUGAGCUGUUUGAGCUGACGGUUUCCUAUUUGCCAUUCGCCCCUCGUGGUAUUCAGCCGAUCACCUAAACCACACACUAAUCCUUCUGUUUUCCUUUGGAUGGGUGAAACUCGUCAAAGAGAACAGUAAACAAGGAAAUACUGACGUGACCAUAUAAACAGUCGUGUUUUUAUGUGCAGACGGACAUUACAAAGAAUAACUAACCUCUCCAACAAUAGGCAACCAUUGCUUCCCUAAGCAAAAUGCAUAAGAGACAGCCUGGAAAGAGAAAUCAGAUGGAAUUUAAACAAAUAAUCACCAAAUCUGUUUUUUGACCUUCUCUAUUUAUUGGCACCCUCACCUUUUGCUCAUGUUGGAAUCUUUUUGGAGAUAAUAUUCAUGUGUGUUCUUAUUGCUAAUGUGAGAUUUCCUGACGAAUUCUCAUAGCACUCACACGGGAGGGGGGAGAGGUUCACAUUAAAAAUCCUAACUAGUUAUUAGGUUAUUAUUUUGAUCUGUAAUGUGUGCUCUUACUAGCCAAAAAUCAAAUGAACUUUAGACAAGGUUCUGACCGACAUGCAAUAAUGAGACCUGACAUUUGAAAGUUAUUAAGUAGUUUAAUUUUAAAGGUGAGCCAUCUCAUGAAACACACGUAACUUCCUCCCAUGCUUAGAGCUGCAUCGGCACUCAAGUCCUUCACCAGAACAGGAACAAUCUUUUUUAUUUUUUUUUUUGAAGGUGAAUCCCCACCUCUCCCCAGAUAGCCU
Molecule: long non-coding RNA, 3103 nt
Organism: Gallus gallus (chicken)
Lineage: Eukaryota; Metazoa; Chordata; Aves; Galliformes; Phasianidae
Source: Ensembl